RNAcentral lists this long non-coding RNA (656 nucleotides) under Setaria viridis. RNAcentral describes it as "long non-coding RNA (SVIR_LNC011310)". The record is from RNAcentral. Lineage: Eukaryota; Viridiplantae; Streptophyta; Magnoliopsida; Poales; Poaceae.
GAUGCGGAUGGAGAAUCCCAAAGCAGGUAGGAAAGGCAAUCUAAAUGUUGCAACUGAGGUAAGUGAAAAGAUCGCAGUGACAAAACAGUUUAAAACAUUGAAGAACAAUCACAAAUUCAGACUUUAUUUUUGUAUGGCAACCUUUAGGUUUUUCAAAUAGCCCCGUCCCUUCACGUGGUUGAGCUCAAGAUAGCAAAGGGGGAUACUCUGGAGUUUCAAAAGGUACUAUUCUCGAGCAAUUCUCUCUGCGGUUCUCUUUAAGUUGGGGCACUGAAUCAGUACCGAGAUUAACCGUGCUGUACAACAGUUCUACAGAAGUCUCUCGACGCAACUGAAGGAUGUUGUGUGGAAGUGCGAUGGCGAGGUCGAGGGCAACAGCACGUUGGCAUGAAGCGGCCUCCAAACUUACACAUGCCGGCGCUGGCUUUCCUUGUACAUAGCUUCUCUUCCGGAUGAUCAGUGUCCAUUGCAGAGUCGGUUUUGCAAGCAAGUUCUUUGGUUCAUUUGUCGAUGGCGAGUAAGCUCCGAUGAAACAACCGUCUUCAAGGCUGUUGCGGAUGAGCUCACUGGCGCGUUGUUUAGUCCAUUUUAUGGUCUGGAAGUUAGAUGGGAUGGGAGCCACAAUCAAGGCUGUAGUAGUGUUGUAGUAAUGAGGU